This is a long non-coding RNA of Cygnus olor (mute swan), 2584 nucleotides long. RefSeq lists it as uncharacterized. The record is from RefSeq and is a predicted model, not a curated record. The transcript has 4 exons. NCBI's taxonomy places the organism in Eukaryota, Metazoa, Chordata, Aves, Anseriformes, Anatidae.
UUCCCUAAAUAAUCACGAUUGUCUCAUAGACGAUUAAUAUUUUUUUGUAGUGUGUUACUAAGAGACUUUGCGCCCCAUCCCAGAGCAUGUGGAUUCCUAAUGUCUGAAUUUGAUGCAAAUCACAGGGUGAGGACUUGCUCGUGCCACAUGGCUUGUCAUGGCUUGUGUGCAGGAGCACCCACGCCAGGUUGUGCCUCGCUGUGCCCCUUCUUUUCCAGGGCCACAGUGUCAAGUGACAGUGGAAGGACCAUGGUGUCCAUUUCCAGUGGAGCAUUCCUCUCCAUGGCCACUGUGGGGGACGAGUUUCAUUUAUGAAACCAGAUAGGCUCUACAAAGUUUGAGGUGUUUUGAUUUUUGCUGAUUUUCCAUUCUAGGCCCUACAGCGAGCUUACUGCUGGCCGAAUCCAGUCUCCUUAUAUUUCUGAGUUGCAGUUUCUCCAUCUACGAAACUGGGAGGAAAUGAAAUCUGUAGACCUACAAGUAUUAUCAUGGCCGCUUUUCUUCAGUAAGGACUCAAACAGCUUUAACUCACUGUUAGUGUCAUUUCUGCCUUGUGGGCUUGAAAGCUCAAUGAGAAGACUUUCCCAUGCCACAGAGAAGAACAGAAUAGCAACAGUUCUAGUGAUGAAGGAAUCAAAAUUGAGCCAAGGAAACUGUGUAAAAUCGGCUUCCUCCGCCCCAAUCAGAAAAUUGUAUCCAGCAAAAGGGCAUUCUUUGAUUGCUUAAUAUGAAGAUGCACAGAUCUCUGCCCUCAUCCAGCAGUGUCUACUCCUGAGCAUGCAUAACCACCCUAUGGUGCAUCUGUUGGCCGUUUGUUAUCUCUGAGUUCUCAUUAAUUUUCAGCAAUGAGUCCAUCUGGGAAUAAUUUCAUUGUGAGAAGAAGGCUUCCAUUCUAUCAAGAAAAAAGGCUGCAUGGAAAUCACGGAAAGCUACAGAAGAAAGUAUCGGCCAUUGUUUGAAAGCAUUGUGGCCUGUGAAGAUGGAAACCAGAAAGGGGAUUUGCCUCCAAAUUUUAUAAGCUUCUAGAAACUCAAAUGAUGAGAAACAAAUGUGAAAAAAAUCACAAAAGUAGUGGUUACUAAAAAAAAAUAAUUCUUAAAGCCCUGUUGCUUUUAUGAUGAACAGACCUGGUUAGAAGGAUAUUAAUUAUCUGGAAUACCAUCAUUUAAACAGGUGGAGAUAUUCCCAGUAUUUUUUGGUUGCUUCCUAGAUUAGUAUUAAACUUCUCAGCUGCUAACAAUGAAGUUAUCAGCCACUGGAACAAAUUAUUAAGAGGAACAGUGAGCUUACCAUUUCUUGAAGUCUUCAAACAGAGUGUAUGGUAUGCUUUAGCAAACAAUGGAGACACAGCUGGGUGAAAUUAUAUGGUUGUACUAAAGAGCGGGGAACAUGAGAUAUUCUAUGUGGUCCUUUCUAGCCUUAAGAGCUAUGGAUCUAUAAUUUCACAAAUACCAUUACAAAGAACUCCUCAGAUGUAGUGAUGACCAUGGCAACAAUCUGAGUGCAACUCCUGAUUGGGAGUAGAUUAUUCUAAAGUAUUUUGAGAAAUUACAGACCUAUAAUACAGUUUCUACGUGGUACUGUCACUACAUGGUCAUUUUACUAUCAUAAGGGGGCACUGUAAUUUUAUAAUAUUAGAAAUCCCUUUUUGAGGACUAAAGAGCUCAUUGUACUUCAGUUCAUUAACAAGCAUAUAAACAAGUAAGCAUGUAUACUGCUGCUUUCUUGAUAUAUAUUUCAGCCAUUACAAUGAGAAAUAAGUAUGCAAGAUUCACUCAGUGAAAUAAAAAGCAAUCCAUGCAGGAAAUUCUAAGAUAUUUCUCAUUAAUGUAGACCAUUUCUAAGCUAAACUAAUUUUCUCCCCCUUGUAGUGUGAUCUGGCAUACUGAUUAAAAGAGAACCCUUUUCCAUAGCCAGUCCUCCAGUUGAGAACAGCUAAACCAUUUUUUCCCCAGAUUUCCAACACCUUUGGGCAUUGUUCACUGUCAAAAUUUAAAUACAGUGGGAUAGUUGGAAGUUUGGGAAAGGUAUACGUGACUGAGCAGUUGGGCAUGAACAGCAAUAGUUCUUCAACUUUGAGAUGUAUUUUAUUUUCUAUAAAGAAAGAAGGAGUUUAGUGACUACAUGCUUAGAAAGAAGACUGUGCCAUUUCAUGGUAGCUCUCGAACAUCAUCUUUAAAACUUCAAUUUUUAACAUUGUCUGAUUUUAAAAAAGAAAAAAAAAAAAACAACAAAAAAACAGUAGCCUACACUGAAAAAGACUUCAAGUUAUAUGUAUAGCAUAUUCUAUUAUCAUCAUCACCAGGACGGUUGCAAAAGGUAUUCCUUCAUUAUGGUUAAACCAUCUAACUAAUCUUAAGACAAAAUUACUGUGGUGCCAGUAUGACUGCCACCCAGAAAUGUGGGUUUGGCAGUAUAGCUAUUACACUUGGGAUGUCCUAACUAACAGUAGAAGAUUUAUCAAAACAUAAUGGCGUAGCUUUUCAGCUACUUCAGGGAAAGGUGAUAGUUUAGUGUCCAGGAUGGAUAUGCAUAAUUCCAGAUACAGAUUUUGGGGUUUUAGAUUGUAGUUAAUGGAUAGUUA